GAAAACAGAGAACCAGGCACCUGUGUGGCUCCUAAGGAUGGGCUGAAGCUGGGGUCUGGGCCUUAUGACUGAGAAGACUGUUAAAGCUAAAACCACCUUUAUUCCUGCCUCGAUGACACCUAUCCAAAAGUAGAAAAAUGCUCCCCUUUUAAUCCUAUAGACUUUUUAAUCCUAUAGACUUUGAGAAUUUUGACCUGUCUGAGGAGCAUCAGAUUGCAUACCUCCCCUCGAAUGGCGUGCCUCUCAUGGUUCUGGAUGGGAGAGAGAACUGGAAAAGCUGUUACAGCUGGGGUCCCCCCUCCACCAUAGGAAUCCAAUUUGAUGCAGUCUCCUUUGAUCAUUCUGUCGAUCC
Molecule: long non-coding RNA, 352 nt
Filed under: Homo sapiens (human)
Lineage: Eukaryota; Metazoa; Chordata; Mammalia; Primates; Hominidae
Description: non-protein coding lnc-MAP3K9-9:1
Source: RNAcentral